AUGGAUCUGACCCCCCAAGCAUCCUUGAGGAUGGCGGAUGAUGAUGGACCUUGGUAUGCCGGAUUAAUCGAUGAGUGGGAUAAGGAGCAUCGUGCUCGUGCCAUUGAGAAUGGAAAUCAUGUAGUUGCUAUGCGCAUGAGGGGUCAUUCCGCUGAUGGCUUUACUUACGACCCGCGGUACGAGCCUUAUAUUCGGAGAUUGGGUCUUCUCCCAUUCGUGUUGCAGUUUAAGCGACGCGCUCCGCCGAUGAACCACGCGGCGUUGACCGCACUUGUGGAUCGUUGGAGGCCGGAGACUCACUCGUUCCACCUUCCAUGUGGGGAGCUGACGAUGACCCUAGAGGACAUGGCUAUGAUAAGCGGCCUUCCUAUCGACGGACAAGCUGUUAACGGUCGUGUCAGCGUCGUUAAUUGGCGAGAACGGACAGGCAUUUUAAUUGGUGUUCAGCCCGACGACCCUCAAGAAGGCAAGGCCGAUACCGGAGAGUGA
Molecule: ribosomal RNA, 489 nt
Filed under: Triticum aestivum (bread wheat)
Lineage: Eukaryota; Viridiplantae; Streptophyta; Magnoliopsida; Poales; Poaceae
Description: partial small subunit ribosomal RNA
Source: RNAcentral